CACGUAGGGCGCGAGCGUUGUCCGGAAUUAUUGGGCGUAAAGAGCUCGUAGGCGGCCUGUUGCGUCCGCUGUGAAAGCCCGGGGCUUAACCCCGGGUCGGCAGUGGAUACGGGCAGGCUAGAGGUAGGUAGGGGAGAAUGGAAUUCCUGGUGUAGCGGUGAAAUGCGCAGAUAUCAGGAGGAACACCGGUGGCGAAGGCGGGACUCUGGGCCGAUACUGACGCUGAGGAGCGAAAGCGUGGGGAGCAAACAGG
This 253-nucleotide ribosomal RNA is filed under the name uncultured bacterium. RNAcentral describes it as "partial 16S ribosomal RNA". It matches the Rfam family "Bacterial small subunit ribosomal RNA", at positions 524 to 776 of the family's 1533-position model. The record is from RNAcentral.